AUUGAACGCUGGCGGCAUGCCUUACACAUGCAAGUCGAACGGCAGCGGGCCCUUCGGGGUGCCGGCGAGUGGCGAACGGGUGAGUAAUGCAUCGGAACGUACCCGGGAGAGGGGGAUAACCGGCCGAAAGGCUGGCUAAUACCGCAUGAACUCGGAAGAGCAAAGCGGGGGACCUUCGGGCCUCGCGCUCUCGGAGCGGCCGAUGUCCGAUUAGGCUAGUUGGUGGGGUAAAGGCCCACCAAGGCGACGAUCGGUAGCGGGUCUGAGAGGACGAUCCGCCACACUGGGACUGAGACACGGCCCAGACUCCUACGGGAGGCAGCAGUGGGGAAUCUUGGACAAUGGGCGCAAGCCUGAUCCAGCAAUGCCGCGUGGGUGAAGAAGGCCUUCGGGUUGUUAAGCCCUUUCGGCGGGGAAGAAAUCGGUCAGGCGAAUAGUCUGGCCGGAUGACGGUACCCGCAGAAGAAGCACCGGCUAACUACGUG
Molecule: ribosomal RNA, 485 nt
Filed under: uncultured bacterium
Lineage: Bacteria
Description: partial 16S ribosomal RNA
Rfam family: Bacterial small subunit ribosomal RNA
Source: RNAcentral